RNAcentral lists this transfer RNA (85 nucleotides) under Gymnopilus junonius. RNAcentral's name for it is "tRNA-Pro". It matches the Rfam family "tRNA". Rfam says of the family: Transfer RNA (tRNA) molecules are approximately 80 nucleotides in length. Their secondary structure includes four short double-helical elements and three loops (D, anti-codon, and T loops). Further hydrogen bonds mediate the characteristic L-shaped molecular structure. tRNAs have two regions of fundamental functional importance: the anti-codon, which is responsible for specific mRNA codon recognition, and the 3' end, to which the tRNAs corresponding amino acid is attached (by aminoacyl-tRNA synthetases). tRNAs cope with the degeneracy of the genetic code in two manners: having more than one tRNA (with a specific anti-codon) for a particular amino acid; and 'wobble' base-pairing, i.e. permitting non-standard base-pairing at the 3rd anti-codon position. The record is from RNAcentral. Lineage: Eukaryota; Fungi; Basidiomycota; Agaricomycetes; Agaricales; Galerinaceae.
GGCCUUAUGGUCUAGUAGCAUGAUUCCUCCUUUGGGUUAAGUUUCUGAUUGGAGGAGGUCCUGGGUUCAAUUCCCAGUGAGGCCC